This 253-nucleotide ribosomal RNA is filed under the name uncultured bacterium. RNAcentral's name for it is "partial 16S ribosomal RNA". It matches the Rfam family "Bacterial small subunit ribosomal RNA", at positions 524 to 776 of the family's 1533-position model. The record is from RNAcentral.
CACGUAGGGCGCGAGCGUUGUCCGGAAUUAUUGGGCGUAAAGAGCUCGUAGGCGGCCUGUUGCGUCCGCUGUGAAAGCCCGGGGCUUAACCCCGGGUCUGCAGUGGAUACGGGCAGGCUAGAGGUAGGUAGGGGAGAAUGGAAUUCCCGGUGUAGCGGUGAAAUGCGCAGAUAUCGGGAGGAACACCGGUGGCGAAGGCGGUUCUCUGGGCCUUCACUGACGCUGAGGAGCGAAAGCGUGGGGAGCGAACAGG